This 25-nucleotide unclassified non-coding RNA is filed under the name Mus musculus (house mouse). RNAcentral's name for it is "oocyte_clustered_small_RNA8211". The record is from RNAcentral. Lineage: Eukaryota; Metazoa; Chordata; Mammalia; Rodentia; Muridae.
AAACUGCAAUGGGAACUCUACCAGU